AAUUUCUGGUACGGUGCGCCUGGCCCGCUGCCGCAAGGUACGCGAGUGCUGGUUGUGCGUCUGCCAUACUUGUAGCUAAGCAUCUCUUUACUGGGUUGCCGAACUACAUCUUUUACUUUGAAAAAAUUAGAGUGUUUAAAGCAGGCUUUUGCUAUGAAUACAUUAGCAUGGAAUAAUAAUCUAGGACUUCGGUUCUAUUUUGUUGGUUUCUAUAACUGAAGUAAUGAUUGAUAGGGAUAGUUGGGGGUGCUAGUAUUGGCCGGCCAGAGGUGAAAUUCUUGGAUUCGGUCAAGACUAACUUAUGCGAAAGCAUU
Molecule: ribosomal RNA, 314 nt
Filed under: uncultured Paracercomonas
Lineage: Eukaryota; Cercozoa; Cercomonadida; Cercomonadidae
Description: SSU rRNA
Rfam family: Eukaryotic small subunit ribosomal RNA (bases 96-314)
Source: RNAcentral